This 527-nucleotide ribosomal RNA is filed under the name uncultured bacterium. RNAcentral describes it as "bacterial SSU rRNA". It matches the Rfam family "Bacterial small subunit ribosomal RNA", at positions 777 to 1304 of the family's 1533-position model. The record is from RNAcentral.
AAUAGAUACCCGGGUAGUCCACGCCGUAAACGAUGAGUGCUAAGUGUUAGGGGGUUUCCGCCCUUAGUGCUGCAGCUAACGCAUUAAGCACUCCGCCUGGGGAGUACGGUCGCAAGACUGAAACUCAAAGGAAUUGACGGGGGCCCGCACAAGCGGUAGAGCAUGUGGUUUAAUUCGAAGCAACGCGAAGAGCCUUACCUGGUCUUGACAUCCCGCUGACCGCUAUGGAGACAUAGCUUUCCCUUCGGGGACAGCGGUGACAGGUGGUGCAUGGUUGUCGUCAGCUCGUGUCGUGAGAUGUUGGGUUAAGUCCCGCAACGAGCGCAACCCUUGUCCUUAGUUGCCAUCAUUCAGUUGGGCACUCUAAGGAGACUGCCGUACAAAUACGGAGGAAGGUGGGGAUGACGUCAAAUCAUCAUGCCCCUUAUGACCUGGGCUACACACGUGCUACAAUGGACGGUACAAACGGUUGCGAAGUCGCGAGACGGAGCCAAUCCGAGAAAGCCGUUCUCAGUUCGGAUUGCAGG